This 441-nucleotide ribosomal RNA is filed under the name uncultured bacterium. RNAcentral describes it as "partial 16S ribosomal RNA". It matches the Rfam family "Bacterial small subunit ribosomal RNA", at positions 338 to 795 of the family's 1533-position model. The record is from RNAcentral.
CCUACGGGGUGCAGCAGUGGGGAAUAUUGCGCAAUGGGGGCAACCCUGACGCAGCAACGCCGCGUGAUUGAAGAAGGCCUUCGGGUUGUUAAGAUCUUUAAUCGGGGACGUAUUUUGCCGGUUCCCGAAGAAUAAGCUCCGGCUAACUACGUGCCAGCCGCCGCGGUAAUACGGAGGGAGCGAGCGUUAUCCGGAUUUACUGGGUGUAAAGGGCGUGUAGGCGGGCAUGCAAGCCAGAAGUGAAAUCUGGGGGCUUAACCCCAAAACUGCUGUUGGAACUGCGUGUCUUGAGUGAUGGAGAGGCAGGCGGAAUUCGCAGUGUAGCGGUGAAAUGCGUAGAUAUUGGGAGGAACACCAGUGGCGAAGGCGGCCUGCUGGACAUUAACUGACGCUGAUGCGCGAAAGCGUGGGGAGCAAACAGGAUUAGAUACCCCGGUAGUC